GGGGUUGUAGGUCUGUGGUUGAGUACUUGCCUCACAUGUAUGAGGCACUGGGUUCGAUACUCAGCACCACA
Molecule: transfer RNA, 71 nt
Filed under: Marmota monax (woodchuck)
Lineage: Eukaryota; Metazoa; Chordata; Mammalia; Rodentia; Sciuridae
Description: tRNA.Val
Source: RNAcentral